This 646-nucleotide ribosomal RNA is filed under the name uncultured bacterium. RNAcentral describes it as "bacterial SSU rRNA". It matches the Rfam family "Bacterial small subunit ribosomal RNA", at positions 61 to 671 of the family's 1533-position model. The record is from RNAcentral.
GUCGAACGAGUUCUCGUUGAUGAUCGGUGCUUGCACCGAGAUUCCACUUGGAACGAGUGGCGGACGGGUGAAUAACACGUGGGUAACCUGCCCUUAAGUGGGGGAUAACAUUUGGAAACAGAUGCUAAUACCGCAUAGAUCCAAGAACCGCAUGGUUCUUGGCUGAAAGAUGGCGUAAGCUAUCGCUUUUGGAUGGACCCGCGGCGUAUUAGCUAGUUGGUGAGGUAACGGCUCACCAAGGCGAUGAUACGUAGCCGAACUGAGAGGUUGAUCGGCCACAUUGGGACUGAGACACGGCCCAAACUCCUACGGGAGGCAGCAGUAGGGAAUCUUCCACAAUGGACGCAAGUCUGAUGGAGCAACGCCGCGUGAGUGAAGAAGGCUUUCGGGUCGUAAAACUCUGUUGUUGGAGAAGAAUGGUCGGCAGAGUAACUGUUGUCGGCGUGACGGUAUCCAACCACAAAGCCACCGCUAACUACGUGCCAGCACCCGCGGUAAUACCUAGGUGGCAAGCGUUAUCCGGAUUUAUUGGGCGUAAAGCGAGCGCAGGCGGUUUUUUAAGUCUGAUGCGAAAGCCCUCGGCUUAACCGAGGAAGCGCAUCGGAAACUGGCAAACUUGAGUGCAGAACACGACAGAGGAACUCCA